AUUGAACGCUGGCGGCAGGCCUAACACAUGCAAGUCGAGCGGAUGAAGGGAGCUUGCUCCUGGAUUCAGCGGCGGACGGGUGAGUAAUGCCUAGGAAUCUGCCUGGUAGUGGGGGAUAACGUCCGGAAACGGGCGCUAAUACCGCAUACGUCCUGAGGUAGAAAGUGGGGGAUCUUCGGACCUCACGCUAUCAGAUGAGCCUAGGUCGGAUUAGCUAGUUGGUGGGGUAAAGGCCUACCAAGGCGACGAUCCGUAACUGGUCUGAGAGGAUGAUCAGUCACACUGGAACUGAGACACGGUCCAGACUCCUACGGGAGGCAGCAGUGGGGAAUAUUGGACAAUGGGCGAAAGCCUGAUGCAGCAAUGCCGCGUGUGUGAAGAAGGUCUUCGGAUUGUAAAGCACUUUAAGUUGGGAGGAAGGACAGUAAGUUAAUACCUUGCUGUUUUGACGUUACCAACAGAAUAAGCACCGGCUAACUUCGUG
This 484-nucleotide ribosomal RNA is filed under the name uncultured bacterium. RNAcentral describes it as "partial 16S ribosomal RNA". It matches the Rfam family "Bacterial small subunit ribosomal RNA", at positions 30 to 507 of the family's 1533-position model. The record is from RNAcentral.